Molecule: transfer RNA, 71 nt
Filed under: Rhipicephalus microplus (southern cattle tick)
Lineage: Eukaryota; Metazoa; Arthropoda; Arachnida; Ixodida; Ixodidae
Description: tRNA-Gly
Rfam family: tRNA
About the family: Transfer RNA (tRNA) molecules are approximately 80 nucleotides in length. Their secondary structure includes four short double-helical elements and three loops (D, anti-codon, and T loops). Further hydrogen bonds mediate the characteristic L-shaped molecular structure. tRNAs have two regions of fundamental functional importance: the anti-codon, which is responsible for specific mRNA codon recognition, and the 3' end, to which the tRNAs corresponding amino acid is attached (by aminoacyl-tRNA synthetases). tRNAs cope with the degeneracy of the genetic code in two manners: having more than one tRNA (with a specific anti-codon) for a particular amino acid; and 'wobble' base-pairing, i.e. permitting non-standard base-pairing at the 3rd anti-codon position.
Source: Rfam by way of RNAcentral
GCGUCGGUGGUUCAGUGGUAGAAUACUCGCCUACCACGCAGGUCACCCGGGUUCGAUUCCCGGCUGACGCA